Molecule: long non-coding RNA, 6429 nt
Organism: Rosa chinensis
Lineage: Eukaryota; Viridiplantae; Streptophyta; Magnoliopsida; Rosales; Rosaceae
Exons: 4
Source: RefSeq, a predicted model, not a curated record
AAACCAGAAAGAAAGAAAGAGAGAGCGGGAGAGAGAAAGAAAGAAAGAAAGAAAAAGAUCUUCCGGCAAAUUCUGGCAGCAAAAAUGGUAUCAAUCUCUUCCUUACCUCUUGGGUUUUCUUUUAGGGAGAGGAUCUCUCCUAAGCUAGGCUCUCUCCUAACCUACCUAACCUUUAAAGGAGAUGGCGACACGUGGUUAUUGCUAGAUCCAAUGGUCUACUACGAGCUUAAGCUUUUCUUUUUCUAUGUUUUUCUGUCUCUUAGCUGUCCUUCUAUUCCUUCCCUGCUCUCUCCCUUUCUUCUGUUCUUCAUACGACUAAAGAAGGGGAAGACCAUGGGAUUAUGCUCUUCUUUUUUAGGGGAUAGGAACUGGGCAUGUGAAAGAAGAGGAAAACCAAGGGAUUAUGCUCUUCUUUUUCAGGGGAUAUGGACUUGCGGUUGAUAGUAUAUAAAUUAAACCUGACCAUCAUCAAAUCAAGAUUUCCAUAAAUUGAAUCAAUUGACUAAUUAGCACAAUCAAUUACCAUUGCAUUUUCUCUAAAAACCUCAUCUAAAUUCAAUCUGGUCAUUUGUAAAUGCUUAUUUUCAUAUUAGAUAUCAAACUCAUCUUGCUUUCUCCAUCGAUCCUCUCCAGUCUUUGUACCCAUCCUGAACUCAAUCUCUGAUUUUUUUUUGUUUUGUUUGUUUUUGUUUUGGAGUUUUGAUUAAAUGCUCAAAUUAUUUUUGAAGUGCAUCCAUGGAAGCUAAAAGAACUAGUCCAUGAAUAUCAAUUAUUUGAACGGAAAUGCAAGAGGAUAGAAAGGGGAAAGAGGUAAAGAGAAGAUGAGAAGAGAUUUCAAAGAUCAGAUGAGAGAGAAGGUGUUGAGUUUGUCACUUUCUCUCGAAAAAGUUGAAGUAGGGGUAAGAUUGGAAAGAAGAAACUAUUGAAGUAUCUGCAAGCCAUUGGAUCUAGUCAUAACCACGUGUUGCCAUCUCCUUUGAAGCUUAGGUAGGUUAGGAGAGAGCUUAGCUUAGGAGAGGAUCCUCUCCAUUUCUUUUAAGUAUAGUAUUGCAUAGACUUAUUGGAGGAUUUUUGAGAUUGAAAUCCGGCCACUAUUUACAAAUUGGAGUUUACUGUUUUCUUAAUUGUUGAGGUAGUUUUAGUUGUUUUCUGAACUUGGUGUGGUUGAGAAAAAUUCUAGAGGGGUUGAGAUGAAGUUGCUGUCAAAAUUUGGUGACCAUCAGAGAAGUUGACCGCGCUUGAACAGUGCGGUGCGUGAACAGUGGUGAUUGACAUCCAUUUGGCGGACGAUUGUCAAUCGUAUCUUGAGUUGUUAAGAAGACGCAGAGGGAAUUUAGAGAGUGGAGAACGUAGGGUUUUGAGGACAGAUGUCCGAAGUUCGACUGUUAAGUAUAACCGGAGUGUUUGUGUUCUGAGGACGGGGAUGUCCGAAAUUCGACGGUUUAUUAUUAACUGGAGUAUAUUGUUCUGAGGAGGGGGGUGUCCGAAGUUCGACGGUUAUUAUUAACCGGAGUAUAUUGUUCUGAGGGCUGGGAGCCCAAAGUUCGAGGGUUAUUAAGUUAACAUGGGAAUAUGUCGUUUUAUUUGCAUCUAGGCCAAGGUGACUGUAGCGAUGUGGUUAGAGCUCUAACGUGUGGUCAAGAUGGACCAAAGUGGUGUUAUGUGGGGUUGAGUGUUUGUAUGACCAAAGUGGUGUAUUGUGAUUUGAGGAUUGUGUAAAUAUAUUCCUUGCGGAUUUCCGUGAGUUGUUUGAUGUCUCUUUGCAGACGUAAGAUUGUUGAUUUUUACAUUGUUGUGAGAAUUGUAAUUUAAUAAAUCAACAGUUAUUUCUUGUUUACUCACACGAGCUGUCAAAAGCUUACCGGGUUUGGUGUUGUUGCAAUCCCGGUACACUAUUCAAAUUGUGUAGCAGGAAAUCCUGCAGGUCAGGAGAAUCAGGGCGGUGAUUGUGCGGGUUAGAGUAUUUAUUUUGGUCUUACAGCUUUUGUAAUGUGUGAGGUGAGUUACGCUCAAUUAGAGAUUUACCAAUUUACUUUGUACGAGUGAGUUGUAAUAAUUAACUCGAGGUUUUCGAGAUUUGGAAUUUUGAGUGGCGUGUGGUGUGGUUGUUUAUGAAAAAAUUUCUUAACGUUUAUUUGAUUAAGUUGUUUAUUUCCUGUUUCGGAUUUGAAUUUGUCAUUCAAAAUCCUGGGCGUGACAAUUGGCAACUUCAAUCUUUCUAUUAUCUUCACCACUUGCGAACGGCUUCAGAUAAGUUUUCAUUUACUCUUUUUCAACUAAAGCUAAUAUCCUACUUUACAUGCUUCAUUGAUUACUGCAAUCUAAGCAUGCCUACAAAAUGUGAUAAUUUUAAUAGCAUACUUACUAUGCCUUACUGUUAAUGCUAUGCUUUAAAUGUCUUCAUGAUAAUUAAGCUAGUGUAUAAAAUGCAAAGUAUUAUUAGCAUCUCCACUAUGAAUACAGGCAAAACAUAAGCCAUGCUUUUAUCUUGAUUACAUUGCCACAUAUAUACAUGCGAUACUCAUUCCACAAAUUGACAUGCACAGAUAUUUGUUAUCAUUAUGAGUUUAGACUUGCUCCAACACAAUCCAACUACAUGUUCUAGUAGAUCUAAUGGUUCAAACAAUGUCAUUUACACAAAAUUGCCAAUUGAGCUAUACUCAAUACUCUUAUUUAAAUACUUUAGUCUUAUAUCCACAUGCUGCUACUUACUUGUUGAGCACCUCUGUUGCUUAUAUACACAUGGACUCUCACUAGCGAGAUCAGUCCUCGCUCCUAUCAUGACAAAUGUUCUCGAUACUGGGGGGACUUGUACACCUUACAUGCCUGAAUGACCCAUACUCGCUAUGCCUGGAUGACAUACAUUCGCCAUACUUAAAUGGCAUACACUCGCCAUAUCCGAAUGACAUAUACUCGCCAUGCCUACAUGGUAUACACUCGCCAUGGUAAAUGUUCUCGAUACUGGGGGACUUGUACACCGUACUCUCCAUGCCUGAAUGACAUAUACACGCCAUGCCUGAAUGAUAUACACUCGCCAUGGUAGCUGUUCCCAAUACUGGGGGACUUGCACACCCUACCUGCCAUGCGUGGAUGACAUAUCCCCUCCAUGCUUCAGCGACAUAUCGCCAUGCUAUACUAGCCAUGUUUUAGCGAUAUCUCACUUCUGCUUCAACAGUAUCUCAUCUAUGCCUCAAUGAUAUCUUAUUUAUGCUUCAGCAACAUCUUAUCUGUGCCUCAGUGGUCUACCAUCUAUGUUUUAGCGAUAUCUUAUGAUAUCUUAUUUAUGCUUCAGCAACAUCUUAUCUGUGCCUCAGUGGUCUACCAUCUAUGUUUCUAUGAUAUCUUAUCUAUGCGUCAGCAUUAUAUUAUCCAGGCCUUAGCGAUAUCUUAUCUACGCUUCAGUAGUAUCUUAUUUAUGUUUUAGCAGUAUCUCACCUAUGCUUCAGCGUGGCCUAUACUCGCUGCACUUCAGCAGUAUAUUCUCUACACAUUAGCGAUAUCUUCAUUGUGUUUUAGUAGUAUCUCGCCUCUGCUUCAGCGGUAUUUUAUCUAGGCCUCAACGAGCUUCAACGGUAUCUUAUCUAUGCCUCAAUGUUAUAUUCUCCACGCUUCAGCGAUGUAUUGGCCAUGCUUUAGCAAUACACUCGCUUAAUGCAUACUCGCUAUGCCCCAACGGCUCCUUUCGCCAUGUUUCAGCGAUGUACUCGUCAUACCUCAAUGACACACAAUCGCCAUGCUUCAACUUGAUAUAUCCUCCUAUAUGAUAAAUGUUACACUCGCCAUGUUUCAACGAUACACUCACAAUGUUGUAAUAACAUGCUCGCAAUGCUUCAACGAUGCAGUCGCCAUGCUGUAAUGACAUACACCCAAUGCUCACCACGUUUCAACGAUAUCUUAUCUAUGCUUCAGUAGUAUAUUAUUCGGGCCUUGGCAAACUCUUCUCUACGCUUUAGUAGUAUCUCAUCUAUACUUCAGCUGUAUCUCACUUAUGCCUCAACACGAUAUAUCCUUCACGCUUCACAGACAUGUGCUCCACGCUUCAAUGGCGACCUACAUUCGCUAUAUCUCAACGCGGCGUACUCACCAUGUUUCGACGGACACACUCGUCAUGCCUCAACGACAUAUACAACGUACUUGCCCUGCCUUAGUGCCAUAUACUCACCCAUACUUUAGCUUCACUCUUACAUCCUGGCAGGCACUCUCUUAACUCCCCGCUCGUGCCCUAACGGCACUCGGGACUAUACUCUUACAACCCUACCCCUUUGGGACUCUACCAAUUCUCCAAUGAUCGCAAUGUAUUCUCUGAUGAUCUUAAUGAAUCCUCCAAUGAUCACCAUGUAUUCUCUAAUGCUAUUCUCCAAUCAUCGUCAUGUAUUCACCCACAAUUGCCUUGUAUUCUGUCACUGUCUUUGAUAGUUUUCAAUGAAAUUGGCUCGAUAUCGCCAUUUCUUAUCUCUCCAAUGUGAUCAAUGUGAAAUGCUCCAAUGCGAUCACAAUGCAAUGCUUCAAUGCGAUUACAAUGUGAAAAGCUCCAAUGCGAUUAAUGUGAAAUGUGAUCACAAUGCUUCAAUGCGAUCACAAUGCAAUGCUUCAAUGCAAUCACAAUGCGAAAUGCUCCAAUGUGAUCAAUGUGAAAUGCUUCAACGCGAUUAAUGCGAAAUGGUCCAACACGAUCAAUGCGAAAUGCUCCAAUGCGAUCAAGGAGAAAUGCCUAAAUGAAACGCGAGAAAGGCGAAAUGCCUAAGUGAAAUGCGAUCAAGGUGAAAUGCCUAAAUGAAAGGCGAUCAAUGAAAUGCAAGCAAGGCGAAAUGCCCAGAUGAAAUGCGAUUAAGGUGAAAUACCUCAAUGCGAUCAAAACGAGGUGGCUAAAUGAAAUACGAUCAAGCUAAGCACAUGAUCGAGAUGAAAUAGUUACAAGUAUGCUUGUGGUGACAUAGCCUAGUACUAUCAUUGACAACACCUAAUAUCUCCACAACCAUGAUCACGACACGCUCUCCUUUAUACGAGAUAUCAUUAUAUGUCAUUAUCUGAUAUUGGCAUGAGGCAUCUUUUUCUAACAUGCGGUAUCGCCAUGUUUUCUCUCUAUUGUAUGACAUUGCCAUGUUUUAUCUCCAUUACUUCAUAUUGCCAUAUUUUAUUUGUCCAUUACACGAUGGGAUAUUGCCAUGUCUUCUCUCCAUCAUACAAUAUCGUCAUAUCUUAUCCUUAUCCAUUCUAUGAUUGCAUGACACUACAUGCAAAACAAAAGGUUGUGCCAAACUUAAUAAUAGCGAUAUCGCCAAGUACAUUCUAGUCACUAUCAACUACAUCAUUCCAGCCACUAUCGGCUACAUCAUUAUAGCCACUAUCGGCUACAUUCAUUACAGCAAUUAUCGGCUUCACACCAAAAUCAUUACUAUCGCCACAUGCAAAAAUGGGCUAACAUAGCCAAGGCUAUCCUUGCAGACACCAAGUGUAUCAAGUACACCUUAUAUCGGGCAUACCUAAUGCCAUAUGCUAGUAGACCCUGGUCUAAACUCUCUGACCUCGGUCUCAGGGGACUCGGGGACUAGUCACCCUAAGGAAGCCAUUCUCGCCAAAUGUCCAAUGAAUGCUUGUGCCGUUUUUUACUUGGAAAAUGAAGUCACCACCCCAGUCAAGACUCCCCUUAGCUGGGGACUUAGGGGACUAGGGGUAAUGGUUGUAUGGAAACCAUAUGGCAAAGAUACUCACCUUGCACUUCCGAUACUUUUACCAUGGACAAACUCCCCACCCAAGAGAACUCUUGACCGGGGACUUGGGGGACUUGUUGGUAUAGAUACCUCUCACACACAAGUAUCGAAAGUGCAAGGCUCACUAGCCACUUAAAGCAAUGUCGAUAACACCCAAAGACGAUGCCGAUACCAUACACUUGAGGUAUCGGGUAGGCCGCACCAAGUCCCACAUUGUAAAUAAAGGGGUGACAAGCCCAUUCCCACACUAUAAAUACUUGUCUCUCCACUCAUUCAAGGUAAGCCACCACUCUCCAUUUACUCCUACCUAGUCUACAUUCUUACAUGUAACUGACUUAGGCCUCGGAGAGUCGAAGGCCGGCUAGCCUGGUCUUUCCUCUGACCUCUGUUCAUGGUUGGCAAGUAUGGAUCUCGGAAGUAGAAGCUCUCAUGACAACCCCGUUUCUACCACAGAAACAUGGAUGAUCAAGAAGGGGUUUAACAAAGAGGAGGUGGGGCACCAAGGAAAAGUGAUCAGCAGGUCUGUGUGGGAAAUGGAACAAAGGUAGCAGUUAAGGCUAGUGCAUGGAACUCUGAAGCUCGACUUAGGAUUAGGCAAAUUUAUUUUUCUGGACAAUGUUUAUUAUAUUUCUUCUUUAAAAAGGAAUCUUAUUUCAGUAGGUCUUUUAGUUAGUGUUGGAUGCAAACUCAUUAUUGAUUUUAGUGGAAUAAAAUUAUA